GUAUACAGUUAAAACGCAGCAUCAGUUACAUUAAAUUUAGAUUUGUGAUUCCAACUGCGAAAUUCUCGCUGUAAAUAGUGCCCAUGGUGGCCGAACACAUGAUGCUCGAGUAUUACGGUCGUCGAGACUCUUUGCUCAUUUAGAACAGAGACACAGACAGGGUGAAAUAGAUAAUUGCUGGCUUCUAGGUGAUUCUGCAUACCCCCUUCUACCUUUUCUAUUGACGCCAAAAUUAAAUGAAGAAGAAGGAACUCCAGGUGCAAGAUACGCAGAUCAUCAUGUUCGGACUCGUGUGGCUAUCGAGCGUUGUUUCGGCAUUUUAAAAGGUCGCUGGCGUUGUUUACGGAAGGAACGAGCUUUACAUUAUCGUCCACAAUUCGCAGCUCUUAUUGUCAAUGCUUGUUGCGUUCUGCAUAAUAUGGCGAUCAAAUGGGGGAUUCCUUGUGAUGAAAUACAUCUGGAUGAAUUAGAUAUAGCACCACCGAUACCAUAUCAUGAUAUUAACGAAGAACGUGGAGAACAAACCCGAAAUCGUGUGAUCCAAUGGUAUUUCACAAAUUGACUCAACUUUUAAGAUUUAACAAUUUUUUACAUGAGUUUUUAAUUGUAUUUUGAAAAUAGCUAUGUUCAACAGACUAAGCAGAUAAGU
Trachymyrmex cornetzi is the source of this 649-nucleotide long non-coding RNA. RefSeq lists it as uncharacterized. Lineage: Eukaryota; Metazoa; Arthropoda; Insecta; Hymenoptera; Formicidae. The transcript has 4 exons. The record is from RefSeq and is a predicted model, not a curated record.